UAUAGACUCAGCAUGACAUACAGUAGAAACAGCCCUCCCUUUCAAUGACAUGCAUCCUCUCAUGCUUACACAGCACAUCGUACUUCAUCUGGGUCGUGUCCAUUAGUAAAAUGGUUUGCAACUGAAAAUAAAAAUGUGUGUUUAUUGGACAAGUUUAGUCGAUAUCAAUUGGCUAGCUAGUUAGUGGUAUCUACUCAGUUGAGCUCUGCCCGACUGCUGGGGUUGCUGUGGAGGAGGUCAAAGGGUUUGAGUGUAGCCUAGUAUCAUUCAAUCGGUGACAUCACCUGCUCAAGGGUCGCGGCUUCUUCAUGGGCGACAGAUGUUGAUGUGUUCAGAGGGUCCCUGGUUUGAGUCCAGGUUGGGGCAGGGAGAAGAACGGAAACAACAGUGUUACACAAGGACAGAUGAUACCUUCCCGUUUCAGAACGUUUUCUACCGUUGGGUGCCUAAUGAACACAGCUCUGGUUUAGCACAGAUGUAGCAUAUAGACGUGCAAACAUAAUGAAUGUGUGGCAACACCUUUGUACAAUAGCUGGCUCAUUUAUGAAUUGCCGAGCUUCCGUUGCUCAUGAUAUUUUCAGGCCCCUCAUCUUAUUGUCUGCACAAUAGGUUAGUGCAGUGACUGAAAAGCUGGCUAAAACUUAUGUGGCUGGACUGACAACCUGGGUGGUGGUUUUCAGUAGGCACAAAAA
Non-coding RNA from Oncorhynchus mykiss (rainbow trout), 692 nucleotides. NCBI's taxonomy places the organism in Eukaryota, Metazoa, Chordata, Actinopteri, Salmoniformes, Salmonidae. The record is from RefSeq and is a predicted model, not a curated record.